RNAcentral lists this ribosomal RNA (497 nucleotides) under uncultured bacterium. RNAcentral describes it as "partial 16S ribosomal RNA". It matches the Rfam family "Bacterial small subunit ribosomal RNA", at positions 28 to 507 of the family's 1533-position model. The record is from RNAcentral.
GAUGAACGCUGGCGGCGUGCCUAAUACAUGCAAGUCGAGCGCACGGAAGAGGAGCUUGCUUCUCUGAUGUUAGCGGCGGACGGGUGAGUAACACGUGGGUAACCUACCUAUUAGACUGGGAUAACUUCGGGAAACCGUAGCUAAUACCGGAUAAUAUUUUGAACCGCAUGGUUAUACAGUGAAAGACGGUCUUGCUGUAACUUCUAGUUGAAUUCGCGUUGAAUUAGCUAUUUGGUAAGGUAACGGCUUACCAAGGCAACAUUGAAUAGCCACCCUAGGAGGGGGUUCGGCCACACGGGAACGAGACCAGGGCCAAGACUCCACGGGGAGGCACCGUAGGGGAAUCUUCGGAAAUGGGCGAAAGCCUGACGGGGCAACGCGGCUGGGUGGAGGAGGGUUUUCGGAUCUAAAGACUCUGUUAUAAGGGAGGAACAGAGGGGUAAGUAACUGUGCACAGCGUGACGGUACCUAAUCAGAAAGCCACGGCUAACUACGUG